UUUAUACUUUGUUUCUCUUUGCUGGCAUUGUUUUAUCUAGUCUAAUCUCUCACAGAAGCUAUUGUCAUUCAAGGGUUAUUUCUUCUUGUGGGAAUCUUCCCACUUUGCACUGCCCAAAGCUUUGUCUCUUGAAUUUGAAGCAACUGCCACCAUCAAGAUUCUAAGUCUCUUAAGUGGUACAUGGCCUCAGAGCAGCUGAGGUUUCAAUGCUCACAUAAAUCCAAUAGGGAGACAGACAUGACUACUUUGAAAGGAGGAGCAGAUCUGCACCAUAUCCAAAGCCUGUGAGUUUUUUGAAAUCCGCUAGUCGACUUUCCAUCUUAAACACUGUAUGCAAAUAAGGAUAAAGACAGCGACACUUCCCAAGAGAGGUCAGAAGUCAAGAGGAGAGAGAGAAAAAGGGUCAUCUUAAAAAUCAGUGGCAUAUUGGACUGAUUUCAUCUUUCUGUCUCAUCAGAUACUGUCACAUAUUCGUAGACACGGUCAGAGGUGUGACUUGUGACAACUAAUGGCUGAGUCUUCAUCACGUCCAUGUGUGUGUGAGUAUGUGUGUGUGCAGAUUGUUUUUUACAUAGACUGGAAAUAUUGACCUCUAUAUUGUACAUAAGAAAACUAAAUAUCAGAGAAAUAAAAUGCAAGAGAAGACAGGCAACACAAAGAGGUCCUCCGGGCCCAGGAAGAACCCGUAGGCAAUCUUGCUGUCAUUUCAAGUCUCCCUCCUUCCUCCUGCAAAGCAGAGAGACAAAGGCCAAUCCUCAGAACCACGGGAGGAGCAAGCAGGUCAGACACAAGCCCAGACUUCCCGCGAACACUGAAGAAGUCAACAACCAGCAACUGUGUCCGAGGUGACCUCCUUCAAGACUCCAGAGAGCUGGUUUCCCUGGCAGGCCCAGGCAGGUGCCCAGGAUGUCACCUUCCUCAGGCUUCCUGUGCCACUGCCCUCCAAGAGAAAAAAAAUCCUUUCAAAGAAAAAUUUCAGUCCAUAUAAAUAAAACAUACCAUGCUGGCAAAUUCCGUGAAAAGGGCGGUCCCUGUUUUCCCUAAGUCAAAAUAUUUUCCUUUCCAAUAUAUUUGUUUCUUCUAAUAGGAGAAUGCUGUCUUCUCUCUCUACCACACCUUGCGGUUGAGGUUUAGACUCUCCAAGUAGCUUAGGCAUAAAGAGUCAAGCUGCUAGGUUCAGCUCCCAUUGAGUUUUUGCUUGGCUUCUAAAAGGAGACCCUGCUCCUGGAGGGAGGAUGACAGUGGCCUUGCACAUCCACCACCAUCUCAGAUUCUAUUAUUUGCACCUGC
This 1290-nucleotide long non-coding RNA is filed under the name Equus caballus (horse). RNAcentral's name for it is "lncRNA (ENSECAG00000036786.3)". The record is from RNAcentral. Lineage: Eukaryota; Metazoa; Chordata; Mammalia; Perissodactyla; Equidae.